GGGUUGUGAGGUUAAGCGACUAAGCGUACACGGUGGAUGCCCUGGCAGUCAGAGGCGAUGAAGGGCGUGCUAAUCUGCGAUAAGCGCCGGUAAGGUGAUAUGAACCGUUAUAACCGGCGAUACCCGAAUGGGGAAACCCAGUGUGAUUCGUCACACUAUCAUUAACUGAAUCCAUAGGUUAAUGAGGCGAACCGGGGGAACUGAAACAUCUAAGUACCCCGAGGAAAAGAAAUCAACCGAGAUUCCCCCAGUAGCGGCGAGCGAACGGGGAGGAGCCCAGAGCCUGAAUCAGCAUGUGUGUUAGUGGAAGCGUCUGGAAAGGCGCGCGAUACAGGGUGACAGCCCCGUACACAAAAGCGCAUGUGCUGUGAGCUCGAUGAGUAGGGCGGGACACGUGGUAUCCUGUCUGAAUAUGGGGGGACCAUCCUCCAAGGCUAAAUACUCCUGACUGACCGAUAGUGAACCAGUACCGUGAGGGAAAGGCGAAAAGAACCCCGGCGAGGGGAGUGAAAAAGAACCUGAAACCGUGUACGUACAAGCAGUGGGAGCACCCUUUGGGGUGUGACUGCGUACCUUUUGUAUAAUGGGUCAGCGACUUAUAUUCUGUAGCAAGGUUAACCGUAUAGGGGAGCCGGAGGGAAACCGAGUCUUAACCGGGCGUUAAGUUGCAGGGUAUAGACCCGAAACCCGGUGAUCUAGCCAUGGGCAGGUUGAAGGUUGGGUAACACUAACUGGAGGACCGAACCGACUAAUGUUGAAAAAUUAGCGGAUGACCUGUGGCUGGGGGUGAAAGGCCAAUCAAACCGGGAGAUAGCUGGUUCUCCCCGAAAGCUAUUUAGGUAGCGCCUCGUGAACUCAUCUCCGGGGGUAGAGCACUGUUUCGGCUAGGGGGCCAUCCCGGCUUACCAACCCGAUGCAAACUGCGAAUACCGGAGAAUGUUAUCACGGGAGACACACGGCGGGUGCUAACGUCCGUCGUGAAGAGGGAAACAACCCAGACCGCCAGCUAAGGUCCCAAAGUCAUGGUUAAGUGGGAAACGAUGUGGGAAGGCCCAGACAGCCAGGAUGUUGGCUUAGAAGCAGCCAUCAUUUAAAGAAAGCGUAAUAGCUCACUGGUCGAGUCGGCCUGCGCGGAAGAUGUAACGGGGCUAAACCAUGCACCGAAGCUGCGGCAGCGACGCUGAUGCGUUGUUGGGUAGGGGAGCGUUCUGUAAGCCUG
This 1219-nucleotide ribosomal RNA is filed under the name Salmonella enterica. Its description in RNAcentral is "partial 23S ribosomal RNA". It matches the Rfam family "Bacterial large subunit ribosomal RNA", at positions 1 to 1251 of the family's 2925-position model. The record is from RNAcentral. Lineage: Bacteria; Pseudomonadati; Pseudomonadota; Gammaproteobacteria; Enterobacterales; Enterobacteriaceae.